Molecule: ribosomal RNA, 906 nt
Filed under: Didymella macrostoma
Lineage: Eukaryota; Fungi; Ascomycota; Dothideomycetes; Pleosporales; Didymellaceae
Description: LSU rRNA
Rfam family: Eukaryotic large subunit ribosomal RNA
Source: RNAcentral
GCAUAUCAAUAAGCGGAGGAAAAGAAACCAACAGGGAUUGCCCUAGUAACGGCGAGUGAAGCGGCAACAGCUCAAAUUUGAAAUCUGGCGUCUUUGGCGUCCGAGUUGUAAUUUGCAGAGGGCGCUUUGGCAUUGGCAGCGGUCCAAGUUCCUUGGAACAGGACGUCACAGAGGGUGAGAAUCCCGUACGUGGUCGCUAGCCUUUACCGUGUAAAGCCCCUUCGACGAGUCGAGUUGUUUGGGAAUGCAGCUCUAAAUGGGAGGUAAAUUUCUUCUAAAGCUAAAUACUGGCCAGAGACCGAUAGCGCACAAGUAGAGUGAUCGAAAGAUGAAAAGCACUUUGGAAAGAGAGUUAAAAAGCACGUGAAAUUGUUGAAAGGGAAGCGCUUGCAGCCAGACUUGCCUGUAGUUGCUCAUCUAGGUUUCUACCUAGUGCACUCUUCUAUAGGCAGGCCAGCAUCAGUUUGGGCGGUUGGAUAAAGGUCUCUGUCAUGUACCUCUCUUCGGGGAGAACUUAUAGGGGAGACGACAUGCAACCAGCCUGGACUGAGGUCCGCGCAUCUGCUAGGAUGCUGGCGUAAUGGCUGUAAGCGGCCCGUCUUGAAACACGGACCAAGGAGUCUAACAUCUAUGCGAGUGUUUGGGUGUCAAGCCCGAGCGCGUAAUGAAAGUGAACGGAGGUGGGAACCUUUCGGGGUGCACCAUCGACCGAUCCUGAUGUCUUCGGAUGGAUUUGAGUAAGAGCAUAGCUGUUGGGACCCGAAAGAUGGUGAACUAUGCUUGAAUAGGGUGAAGCCAGAGGAAACUCUGGUGGAGGCUCGCAGCGGUUCUGACGUGCAAAUCGAUCGUCAAAUUUGGGCAUAGGGGCGAAAGACUAAUCGAACUAUCUAGUAGCUGGUUCCUGCG